CUCUCUCUCUCUCUCUCGUCGAUAAACACAAAAAAUCGAAACUGUGUUCGAUCCGUUGUAAGCGAUGCUUUGACGCCGGAGAAUGGUGUUCUUUUUGGCGAAUCGACGAGACCUUCGACGCGUGGUUCAACGGUUCAUCGGAUUGGUACAAACGAAGUGUUUGGGUGAGUGAAUCGAAUCAACAAAACUGGCACACGAUGAGGUAGUACAAGAAGGUGUGAAGGUGGAUAGAGUGGGUGAGGCGUUUGUGGUUGAGAUGUGGAAGAAACUACCGAACUCUCUUCUCAGGACGUGACUGCUACUACAAGCUCUUGUAGAAUGGUGACUGCUACUUUUUGACAUCUUCACAUUAUUUGAUCAUCAUUCAUCACUGGAAAGAGUUCAUAGAGAAGAGUUUUAUAAUCAUGUGAUGAUUGUUUAUUAUUGAUACUAAUUUUGUAUUAGCAUCAUUUUAUUAUUGAUACUAAUUUUGUAUCUUUUAUUUAAUUGAUUUUUUAUUUUGUAUCA
This is a long non-coding RNA of Capsella rubella, 507 nucleotides long. RefSeq lists it as uncharacterized. The transcript is spliced from 2 exons. The record is from RefSeq and is a predicted model, not a curated record. NCBI's taxonomy places the organism in Eukaryota, Viridiplantae, Streptophyta, Magnoliopsida, Brassicales, Brassicaceae.